This 412-nucleotide ribosomal RNA is filed under the name uncultured bacterium. Its description in RNAcentral is "bacterial SSU rRNA". It matches the Rfam family "Bacterial small subunit ribosomal RNA", at positions 505 to 916 of the family's 1533-position model. The record is from RNAcentral.
GUGCCAGCAGCCGCGGUAAUACGGAGGGUGCGAGCGUUAAUCGGAAUUACUGGGCGUAAAGGGCGCGUAGGCGGUCGCGCAAGUCGGGUGUGAAAGCCCCGGGCUCAACCUGGGAAUUGCAUUCGAUACUGCGUAACUAGAGUCUGGUAGAGGGAAGCGGAAUUCCGCAUGUAGCGGUGAAACGCGUAGAUAUGCGGAGGAACACCAGUGGCGAAGGCGGCUUCCUGGACCAAGACUGACGCUGAGGCGCGAAAGCGUGGGGAGCAAACAGGAUUAGAUACCCUGGUAGUCCACGCCCUAAACGAUGAGGACUAGACGUUGGGGGGUAAAACCCCUUAGUGUCGCAGCUAACGCGUGAAGUCCUCCGCCUGGGGAGUACGGCCGCAAGGUUGAAACUUAAAUGAAUUGACGG